This is a non-coding RNA of Plutella xylostella (diamondback moth), 255 nucleotides long. NCBI's taxonomy places the organism in Eukaryota, Metazoa, Arthropoda, Insecta, Lepidoptera, Plutellidae. The record is from RefSeq and is a predicted model, not a curated record.
CAGAUAGCCUGCCUCUGCGGUAUCCGGGCGGAGAACGAGACGAUGAAGGAGGUCAACCGAGUGUUGCAGUCGGAGAUGGAGCGGGUGCGCCGAGAGAUGAGAAGUUUAGAAGACGACAUCAAUGACAAGAGUAACUCUCUUUGUAAUGUUAAAAACGAAGUCACAAAGCUGAAAAAUGAAAAUAAUAUGAUGAUGGAAGAGUUGGAAAACCUGCGGCAAGAAUUGGGAGACUUGGAGUCCGACCGGGAAACUAAG